GAAGUCCCUGGCGGCCUCCCAAACCCAACCCACUAAGCCAUCACCCCAAACCCUGCACCUGCCCUGCCUCCUCCGCUGAUCUGCCCCCACUCAGUCCCGGCCGUGCUGGGACGAGUGGGCUCAAGCUGCCCACAGGAAGGCCUGGCUGCCCACAGGGGCCCCUCUGCAGCAGCCCCCCUGCAGCCCUCCACGCACCUCCCUCGGGGCCAUGGGUGCACCCCCCCCACCAGGAGACCGAGCAGGGGGAGAGACCAGCCCCAGUGCUGUAUGAGCCCUUCUGGCUCCCUGCUCUGCUCAGGCUCCUUCGGCCAAAUCCAUGUGUUUGCUGGUACGUGGUGCCCACGGACUCAGAGGUGAGUAGGGGACCCCCCCAAAACCCCCUAAGACUUGGCCCAAGUUUAUCUGACGAAGUCAGAGCGUGGACCACCCUCCCUGAGAUUUGAACCGACUCUUCUACUUCCAAACCUUGGCGUUGCUUCUUUUAAAGAGCAAAUACGACAGUCCGAAGCGCACUGAAGCAAAGCUGAAGGAUCUGGGGGCAGUUCUCAUGGUUUGGUCAAAGGCGAUCUGGACUCUCACGACCAAGCUUUAUGCUCUUCGUGGAAUCGCAACCUGACGAGGCCCCUCAGAUUCUCACACGUGGACACUUGAAGGGCCAGGUCGCAUCUUCUCCAGGUCUCAGACAUCGGCGAUUUGAAAUGGAGUCACUCAGCCCUUUGCAUCGACGAGGUGACAGAAGGGACAAAGGUAAGAUCUGCGAAUUUAUGAAGCUUCUUGGCUCAGGGGCUUGGGCAGGUGGACAGGCCAGCGGCUGGGAGGGAGGGGGGCGUGGGGUGGGGUCCUGCUGGGCCCCGCCCCCGCCCAGCUCAGGCCCCGCCCUCCAAGUGCUCUCAGAAGACCUGGCGGCACAGCUGUUCCUCUCCCGUCUGCGUUUAUCGUUUCCUCUCACUUAAAUCAUAGCUCUUGAGUCCUACUACGUGCUAAGGGCACACACACUGGGACACCCGGUGCUCUGGAGCUUUGCCGAC
RNAcentral lists this long non-coding RNA (1028 nucleotides) under Sus scrofa (pig). Its description in RNAcentral is "lncRNA (ENSSSCG00030071988.1)". Lineage: Eukaryota; Metazoa; Chordata; Mammalia; Artiodactyla; Suidae. The record is from RNAcentral.